UCGUACAGAUCCUGGGUGGCGUGGCUGUGGUUCUUGCCGCCCACCACGAUCGCUUCGUCUUCCAGCAAGCACUUGACUCCACACGUGGGCUUCCAGUGGAACUUCACGUAGUUGACCUUCCCUUCCUUGUUGACGAAGGUGUAGGUGUUGACGCCGAAGCCUUCCAUGUGGCGGUAGUCGGACGGGACGCCCACGUCGUCGAAGAGGAAGAAGAAGGUGUGGAGGCUCUCGGGGUGGUGCGAGAGGAAGUCGAACACCCUCCAGUACUCCUGGACGUGGGACUUGGGGUUUGGCUUGAAGGCGUGGAUCACGUCCGGGAACUUGAUGCCGUCGCGGAUGAAGAACACGGGGAAGUUGUUCCCCAGCAGAUCCCAGUUGCCCUGACGCCAUGAGACAAUCGGUGAGACCUUGGGGAGACGAGCACGAAUACUUCGGCGCAAGGGUGGAUCACAGUAGAUACCUCUCGGGUGUAGAACUUGACGGCGAACCCGCGGGGGUCUCUGAUGGUUUCAGGGCUGCCACGCUCGUGGAUGACGGUGGAGAAGCGGAGGAUGAUCGGCGUCUGGACGCCGGGCGCCCGGAGGAAGUCGGCGCAGGUGAGGUGAGUGACAUCAUGAGUGCACUCGAAGAAGCCCUUGGCGCUCGCGCCUCGGGCAUGGACGACGCGCUCCGGUAUGCGCUCCCGGGCGAAGUGAGCGAUCUUUUCGACCAGAUGGUAGUCCUCAAGGAGGAUGGGUCCUGAGAGCAACGAUAAGCUUUCAGCAGCUCACAUGAUUAAGGAUGGCUUUCCCUUCGACACCAUUCCCAUACCUCUGGAUCCCACGGUGAGGGCCUGGUCAUCGUUCCAUACGGGCGCACCAGCGUUGGUGGUGGUAAAGUUGGUGUCGAAGGAGCUCGAGGGACGGAACUAUAAACAAUAAAAAGAGAAUAUAAAUCAGAGUUCGGAAUACAUAUUACAUACUUAAAGCGUUUCGAUAUCGCGUUAGAUCUCCGGCAGAUUUCCUCCCGAGGGUACGGCUUAGCUGUCUCCACCGGCGCAGCGAGCUACAUGGAUGGUGCAGCCAUUGGUUCAAACAAGAGGGACCCACAAUCCGCUCCGGCUAUCCGCUUUCAGUGUGAUUGUGGGGCCCCUGUUUGGACCAACGAGCUGCAGGAUCGGAGCAACAUCCUGCCUCGGUGGAUACAGCUGCGCUACACCAUCACAUGAGAUCUACCGAUAACUACGUGCAACAUGAGUUAAUACGUAUGAGCAGAGAAGUGUUGCCACGGACUGCGAAUGGCUGCAGGAGCGAAGGAAGAGAGCUUCAUACCUU
RNAcentral lists this long non-coding RNA (1313 nucleotides) under Musa acuminata (dwarf banana). RNAcentral describes it as "long non-coding RNA (MACU_LNC000295)". The record is from RNAcentral. Lineage: Eukaryota; Viridiplantae; Streptophyta; Magnoliopsida; Zingiberales; Musaceae.